Molecule: ribosomal RNA, 324 nt
Filed under: uncultured bacterium
Lineage: Bacteria
Description: bacterial SSU rRNA
Rfam family: Bacterial small subunit ribosomal RNA
Source: RNAcentral
GACGAACGCUGGCGGCGUGCUUAACACAUGCAAGUCGAACGGAGCACCUUUGAAAGAGACUUCGGUCAAUGGAUGAGACUGCUUAGUGGCGGACGGGUGAGUAACGCGUGAGGAACCUGCCUUUCACAGGGGGAUAACAGUUAGAAAUGACUGCUAAUACCGCAUAAGCGCACGUCAUCGCAUGAUGGUGUGUGAAAAACUCCGGUGGUAUGAGAUGGACCCGCGUCUGAUUAGGUAGUUGGUGAGAUAACAGCCCACCAAGCCGACGAUCGGUAGCCGGACUGAGAGGUUGAUCGGCCACAUUGGGACUGAGACACGGCCCAG